This 214-nucleotide ribosomal RNA is filed under the name uncultured bacterium. RNAcentral's name for it is "partial 16S ribosomal RNA". It matches the Rfam family "Bacterial small subunit ribosomal RNA", at positions 27 to 239 of the family's 1533-position model. The record is from RNAcentral.
GAGUGAACGCUGGCGGCAGGCCUAACACAUGCAAGUCGAACGGCAGCACAGCAGAGCUUGCUCUGUGGGUGGCGAGUGGCGGACGGGUGAGGAAUACGUCGGAAUCUGCCUAUUUGUGGGGGAUAACGUAGGGAAACUUACGCUAAUACCGCAUACGCCCUACGGGGAAAGCGGAGGACCUUCGGCUUCGCGCAGAUAGAUGAGCCGACGUCGG